AUUGAACGCUGGCGGCAUGCCUUACACAUGCAAGUCGAACGGUAACAGGUCUUCGGAUGCUGACGAGUGGCGAACGGGUGAGUAAUACAUCGGAACGUGCCUAGUAGUGGGGGAUAACUACUCGAAAGAGUGGCUAAUACCGCAUGAGAUCUACGGAUGAAAGCAGGGGAUCGCAAGACCUUGUGCUACUAGAGCGGCCGAUGGCAGAUUAGGUAGUUGGUGGGAUAAAAGCUUACCAAGCCGACGAUCUGUAGCUGGUCUGAGAGGACGAUCAGCCACACUGGGGCUGAGAAACGGCCCAGACUCCUACGGGAGGCAGCAGUGGGGAAUUUUGGACAAUGGGCGCAAGCCUGACCCAGUAAUGCCGCGUGCAGGAUGAAGGCCUUCGGGUUGUAAACUGCUUUUGUACGGAACGAAAAGCCCCGGGUUAAUACCCUGGGGUCAUGACGGUACCGUAAGAAUAAGCACCGGCUAACUACGUGCCAGCAGCCGCUGUAA
This 498-nucleotide ribosomal RNA is filed under the name uncultured bacterium. RNAcentral describes it as "partial 16S ribosomal RNA". It matches the Rfam family "Bacterial small subunit ribosomal RNA", at positions 30 to 523 of the family's 1533-position model. The record is from RNAcentral.